GACGGGGGAUGCAAGCGUUAUCCGGACUCACUGGGCGUAAAGCGUCUGUAGGUGGUGAUGCAAGUCACUGGUGCAAAACUCUGGCUCAACCGGAGGAAAGCCAGUGAAACUGCAUGACUAGAGUGUGGGAGAGGUAGAAGGAAUUCCCUGAGUAGCGGUGAAAUGCGUAGAUACAGGGAAGAACACCGGAGGCGAAAGCGUUCUACUGGAACACAACUGACCCUGAGAGACGAAAUCUAGGGGAGCGAAUGGG
RNAcentral lists this ribosomal RNA (253 nucleotides) under uncultured bacterium. Its description in RNAcentral is "partial 16S ribosomal RNA". It matches the Rfam family "Bacterial small subunit ribosomal RNA", at positions 524 to 776 of the family's 1533-position model. The record is from RNAcentral.